UCGACCUGAGAUCAGACGAGAUU
This 23-nucleotide ribosomal RNA is filed under the name Sige fusigera. RNAcentral's name for it is "partial 28S ribosomal RNA". Lineage: Eukaryota; Metazoa; Annelida; Polychaeta; Phyllodocida; Phyllodocidae. RNAcentral also lists the same sequence under 12 other names. The record is from RNAcentral.